UGCCCUUUUAACAUUGCACUG
This 21-nucleotide microRNA is filed under the name Rattus norvegicus (Norway rat). RNAcentral's name for it is "rno-miR-3590-5p". Lineage: Eukaryota; Metazoa; Chordata; Mammalia; Rodentia; Muridae. The record is from miRBase by way of RNAcentral.